Molecule: long non-coding RNA, 268 nt
Filed under: Elaeis guineensis (African oil palm)
Lineage: Eukaryota; Viridiplantae; Streptophyta; Magnoliopsida; Arecales; Arecaceae
Description: long non-coding RNA (EGUI_LNC010079)
Source: RNAcentral
GAGCUUCUGCUACAAGCGGUCUACUUCAAAUCUCUACUACGAGCGAUCUGCACCAGAUUUUCACUGUAAGCCUUCACUCGAGCUUCCAUUGUGGAUGAAUUCCUUCUGGAUUUCUGUUGCAGGCAGGCUUCGAUCGAGAUUCCUCGACAAAUGAUCCUCAUCCAGGCUUCUACAGAGAUCGGACUCCAACCGAACUUCUGUAGCGGAUAGAUUCCGAGCGAACUCCUAUGACACGCGAAAUCCAGCAGCUGGACCCCUCCAGCGGAUG